Molecule: ribosomal RNA, 450 nt
Filed under: uncultured bacterium
Lineage: Bacteria
Description: bacterial SSU rRNA
Rfam family: Bacterial small subunit ribosomal RNA
Source: RNAcentral
GAUGAACGCUGGCGGCAUGACUAAGGCAUGCAAGUCGAACGCCGAUCUUCGGAUCGGAGUGGCAAACGGGAGAGUAACACAUUGGUAACCUACCUCUUAGACGUGAACAACCAUUAGAAAUGAUGGCUAAUACACGAUAAUAAGACAAUUCAUAAGUUUUGUCUUUAAAGCUUUUGCGCUAAGAGAGGGGCCUAUGGCCUAUCAGCUUGUUGGUGAGGUAAAAGCUCACCAAGGCUACGACGGGUAUGGGGUGUGAGAGCACGGCCCCACUCACUGGGACUGAGACACGGCCCAGACACCUACGGGUGGCUGCAGUCAUGAAUCUUCCGCAAUGCACGAAAGUGUGACGGAGCAAUGCCGCGUGCAGGAUGAAGGCCUUCGGGUCGUAAACUGCUUUUAUUAGGGACGAACAAAUGACGGUACCUAAUGAAUAAGGGGUUGCUAACUCUG